AUUGAACGCUGGCGGCAGGCCUAACACAUGCAAGUCGAGCGGUAGCACAGAGAGCUUGCUCUCGGGUGACGAGCGGCGGACGGGUGAGUAAUGUCUGGGAAACUGCCUGAUGGAGGGGGAUAACUACUGGAAACGGUAGCUAAUACCGCAUAACGUCGCAAGACCAAAGUGGGGGACCUUCGGGCCUCAUGCCAUCAGAUGUGCCCAGAUGGGAUUAGCUAGUAGGUGGGGUAACGGCUCACCUAGGCGACGAUCCCUAGCUGGUCUGAGAGGAUGACCAGCCACACUGGAACUGAGACACGGUCCAGACUCCUACGGGAGGCAGCAGUGGGGAAUAUUGCACAAUGGGCGCAAGCCUGAUGCAGCCAUGCCGCGUGUGUGAAGAAGGCCUUCGGGUUGUAAAGCACUUUCAGCGGGGAGGAAGGCGUUAAGGUUAAUAACCUUGGCGAUUGACGUUACCCGCAGAAGAAGCACCGGCUAACUCCGUGCCAGCAGCCGCGGUAAUACGGAGGGUGCAAGCGUUAAUCGGAAUUACUGGGCGUAAAGCGCACGCAGGCGGUCUGUCAAGUCGGAUAUGAAAUCCCCGGGCUCAACCUGGGAACUGCAUUCGAAACUGGCAGGCUAGAGUCUUGUAGAGGGGGGUAGAAUUCCAGGUGUAGCGGUGAAAUGCGUAGAGAUCUGGAGGAAUACCGGUGGCGAAGGCGGCCCCCUGGACAAAGACUGACGCUCAGGUGCGAAAGCGUGGGGAGCAAACAGGAUUAGAUACCCUGGUAGUCCACGCCGUAAACGAUGUCGAUUUGGAGGUUGUGCCCUUGAGGCGUGGCUUCCGGAGCUAACGCGUUAAAUCGACCGCCUGGGGAGUACGGCCGCAAGGUUAAAACUCAAAUGAAUUGACGGGGGCCCGCACAAGCGGUGGAGCAUGUGGUUUAAUUCGAUGCAACGCGAAGAACCUUACCUGGUCUUGACAUCCACAGAACUUUCCAGAGAUGGAUUGGUGCCUUCGGGAACUGUGAGACAGGUGCUGCAUGGCUGUCGUCAGCUCGUGUUGUGAAAUGUUGGGUUAAGUCCCGCAACGAGCGCAACCCUUAUCCUUUGUUGCCAGCGGUUAGGCCGGGAACUCAAAGGAGACUGCCAGUGAUAAACUGGAGGAAGGUGGGGAUGACGUCAAGUCAUCAUGGCCCUUACGACCAGGGCUACACACGUGCUACAAUGGCAUAUACAAAGAGAAGCGACCUCGCGAGAGCAAGCGGACCUCAUAAAGUAUGUCGUAGUCCGGAUUGGAGUCUGCAACUCGACUCCAUGAAGUCGGAAUCGCUAGUAAUCGUAGAUCAGAAUGCUACGGUGAAUACGUUCCCGGGCCU
RNAcentral lists this ribosomal RNA (1361 nucleotides) under uncultured bacterium. RNAcentral describes it as "bacterial SSU rRNA". It matches the Rfam family "Bacterial small subunit ribosomal RNA", at positions 28 to 1381 of the family's 1533-position model. The record is from RNAcentral.